RNAcentral lists this ribosomal RNA (253 nucleotides) under uncultured bacterium. RNAcentral's name for it is "partial 16S ribosomal RNA". It matches the Rfam family "Bacterial small subunit ribosomal RNA", at positions 524 to 776 of the family's 1533-position model. The record is from RNAcentral.
UACGGAGGGUGCAAGCGUUAUCCGGAUUCACUGGGUUUAAAGGGUGCGUAGGAGGGCAGGUAAGUCAGUGGUGAAAUCUCCGGGCUUAACCUGGAAACUGCCAUUGAUACUACUGAUCUUGAAUUUUCGGGAGGUAAGCGGAAUAUGUCAUGUAGCGGUGAAAUGCUUAGAUAUGACAUAGAACACCAAUUGCGAAGGCAGCUUACUACAGGAAUAUUGACACUGAUGCACGAAAGCGUGGGGAUCAAACAGG